This 824-nucleotide long non-coding RNA is filed under the name Olea europaea (common olive). RNAcentral describes it as "long non-coding RNA (OEUR_LNC009568)". Lineage: Eukaryota; Viridiplantae; Streptophyta; Magnoliopsida; Lamiales; Oleaceae. The record is from RNAcentral.
UUGACCUGUUUAAAUUCCAGGACUUUGUGGAGCCUAAUCAUGCUAUAGUCUUCCUAAUAUACUAACUGUUGAAUCAAUAUAAGUUUUUGCGUGUGUUUUGUUUUUUUUUCCCUAAUUAUACAACAUUUGGAAUUAGGCCUUAAUCUAUAACAAGACAUACACAAAACUUAAUUACCUGGUGUCCCCGGUAGAUUUCUUCUCUUCUUGGAAGUAGGGUUUCCAUUUAAAUUAGGGUUAGGGUUUGGUUCUGCAGGUUGUUGAGGGAAUACUUUGGAAGGAAGAGAAAAUACAUCAUCAGACAUCAUUUGAAUAAGAAACUAAAGCUUCAGGGAGAUCGUGUUUUGGUUUAAACUCGAAAAAAGACUGCUAAAAUACAAAAGAAACAAAGGGUUUCUCCAAAUACAAACAGAUAAAUCUUUGGUAUUAUUCAAAUCUUAGAACUAUCAGAUUGUGCCAAAAGAACCAGAAAACACCCAAAAACACAAACUUUGAAUCUCAGAACACCCAUAAAACAAUAACCUUAAACUUUGGUUUCUUCUUAAAGAGAUCUGGUUGAGGACUUUGGCUUGAUUUUCAAAGAAAAAACCAAAAAGCCAUGAAGGCUAAAGAGAAUAUUAUCUCUAUAUUUGUAGCCACCAACCCUUUACACUUCUCUCUCUUAUGCAAGCUCCCUAUCUCUUUAUCUCUUCAUUUCAAAGUCGGUCAGCCAUAGAUUUUAGCUGCUGGGCCACUCUCUCUCUCUCCCCUCUCUCUCUCUCUCUCUCUCUAAUAUUCUAAUUGUACGUAUAUGUUGGCUGUAUGCUGCUUGUAAUUAGCAGAAUGUG